Molecule: ribosomal RNA, 465 nt
Filed under: Vreelandella stevensii
Lineage: Bacteria; Pseudomonadati; Pseudomonadota; Gammaproteobacteria; Oceanospirillales; Halomonadaceae
Description: partial 16S ribosomal RNA
Rfam family: Bacterial small subunit ribosomal RNA
Source: RNAcentral
CCUACGGGAGGCUGCAGUGGGGAAUAUUGGACAAUGGGCGAAAGCCUGAUCCAGCCAUGCCGCGUGUGUGAAGAAGGCCUUCGGGUUGUAAAGCACUUUCAGUGGGGAAGAAAGCCUUGGGGCUAAUACCCUCGAGGAAGGACAUCACCCACAGAAGAAGCACCGGCUAACUCCGUGCCAGCAGCCGCGGUAAUACGGAGGGUGCGAGCGUUAAUCGGAAUUACUGGGCGUAAAGCGCGCGUAGGCGGUCUGAUAAGCCGGUUGUGAAAGCCCCGGGCUCAACCUGGGAACGGCAUCCGGAACUGUCAGGCUAGAGUGCAGGAGAGGAAGGUAGAAUUCCCGGUGUAGCGGUGAAAUGCGUAGAGAUCGGGAGGAAUACCAGUGGCGAAGGCGGCCUUCUGGACUGACACUGACGCUGAGGUGCGAAAGCGUGGGUAGCAAACAGGAUUUAGAUACCCGGGUAGU